This 347-nucleotide ribosomal RNA is filed under the name uncultured bacterium. RNAcentral's name for it is "bacterial SSU rRNA". It matches the Rfam family "Bacterial small subunit ribosomal RNA", at positions 1 to 335 of the family's 1533-position model. The record is from RNAcentral.
GUUGUAGUUUGAUCAUGGCUCAGGAUGAGCCGCUCGGCUUGACCGAUGCCUAAUACAUGCAAGUCGAGCGAAUGAUUAAGAGCUUGCUCUUAUGAAGUUAGCGGCGGACGGGUGAGUAACACGUGGGUAACCUGCCCAUAAGACUGGGAUAACUCCGGGAAACCGGGGCUAAUACCGGAUAAUAUUUUGAACUGCAUGGUCGAAUUGGGCGGUUCGUGUCACUUAUGGAUGGACCCGCGAUCAGCAUUAGCUAGUNGGUGAGGUAACGGACUCACCAAGGGCAACGAAUGCGUAGACAGACCUGAGAGGGUGAUCGGCACAACACUGGGACUGANACACGGACCAGA